UGGGGAAUUUUGCACAAUGGGGGAAACCCUGAUGCAGCGACGCCGCGUGAUUUAGAAGGCCUUCGGGUUGUAAAAAUCUUUUCUAUGGGAAGAAAAUGACAGUACCAUAGGAAUAAGGACCGGCUAAUUACGUGCCAGCAGCCGCGGUAAUACGUAAGGUCCGAGCGUUGUCCGGAAUCAUUGGGCGUAAAGGGUACGUAGGCGGGUAAGCAAGUUAGAAGUGAAAUCCUAUAGCUCAACUAUAGUAAGCUUUUAAAACUGCUCAUCUUGAGGUAUGGAAGGGAAAGUGGAAUUCCUAGUGUAGCGGUGAAAUGCGCAGAUAUUAGGAGGAAUACCGGUGGCGAAGGCGAGUUUCUGGCCAUAACCUGACGCUGAGGUACGAAAGCGUGGGUAGCAAACAGG
RNAcentral lists this ribosomal RNA (402 nucleotides) under bacterium. RNAcentral's name for it is "partial 16S ribosomal RNA". It matches the Rfam family "Bacterial small subunit ribosomal RNA", at positions 355 to 776 of the family's 1533-position model. The record is from RNAcentral.